AUGCACACUUUGACAGCAUAUACACUAAAAGUGGAAUGAUACAGAAACGAUUAGCAUGGCCGCUGUACAAGGUUGACAUGCAAAUUUGUGAGGUGUUCAUGUUUUUU
This is a small nuclear RNA of Echinops telfairi (small Madagascar hedgehog), 107 nucleotides long. The record is from Ensembl. Lineage: Eukaryota; Metazoa; Chordata; Mammalia; Afrosoricida; Tenrecidae.